Molecule: small RNA, 28 nt
Filed under: Bombyx mori (domestic silkworm)
Lineage: Eukaryota; Metazoa; Arthropoda; Insecta; Lepidoptera; Bombycidae
Description: piRNA piR-bmo-1895699
Source: RNAcentral
UGUCCGAAGAAUUCCAGCACCCUACGAA